AUUUUAUUAUAAAGGUUUUUCGUUUUUCUACUGCUCCGUACUCCGUGUGCUCCGUGUUUUACUAAUAGCCCUAUACGUCAGGCAAUGAGAAAUAUAAAGUGAAUUUUUAAAAAAAUUCUCUCACUGACCAAAUCAAAAAGCAAAAACACGGCUAUAAAUUAUAAUAUUUUUGGUAAGGCCUCUCUUCUCCAGGUAAAUCAUGGGCUUCCUUCCACUAUCGCAAUAGCGCAAAAAUGUUUUUGCGGACAAAUACCAUGUACAGACAACAAAUAAAAUCAGAUAUAAAACUUUUGUUAUACCACUCCUCCCCCUCCCCAUUAUAUGUAUAAGAAUUUGAAAUCAGAUCGAUGUAUACUUUGUACUGUUCAUAUAUUGAUGUUUUUUCUUUAAUGCUAUAUUAGUGCAAUUAUUAUAAUAUAUUAGGUCAUAUCUUUGUACAAAAAUAAUUGUUACUUAUAAAUAUAUUUAUAUUCAACAAAACACAUUUAAUCCAAAAAGCAAAUUUUGGUACGUUGCUCUUGUGCAAAUUUGAGAAUUAAGUGUUUAUAUAAUUAUAGGAAACUAGAAUCCACACAAGUUGACACAAAAAUUUGACACAUUGCAAAAUUUGACACAUUGCUAUUAAAAACAAAAUAUAAAAAGGCCGCUGCACAUGCUUACGAUUCGAACUUGGGCAAAUUUUGUGGUUUAAAAGCUAGCCGCAAGGCCAUAAUAAUUUAGCUAUAGUAUAGAGCAAACACAAAUGUUAACACGUUUAAGAACAAACAUAGAAAAUAUAUAUUUGUCCCGUCACUCAAGUACACACGUAAAAACGCACAAGUUUGUUACAAGUCUGUUCACAAGCUGUUAACAAGAUGUAUUCGCACUGCUUGUCACAACUUGUCAACAGGUUUGGAACAACUUGUUGACAACUUGUAACAACCUUGUCGAAAUUAUCAGACUUGUUGCAAGGUUGUUCUGACAAGUCUGUGCUGAUAUGUGCUGACAUGCUUGAUAUAACAAGAUUGUUAUAACCUUGUGUUGACAACCUUGUAACAUCCUUGUUAUAUCAUGGCUGUAACAAACUUGUUAGCACAAUCUUGUAACAAGGCUGAUAAUGCCAUCAAGCUUGUUACAAGUUGUUAACAGCUUGUUUCAAACUUGUUACAACAAACUGGGAACAAGCAGUGCGAGCACAACUUGUUGACAGCUUGUGAACAGACGUGUAACAACUUGUUUGCAGACUUGUUACAACUUGUGCGUUUUUACGUGUGUAGAGAGAUGCACCCAAUUUCAUGCAUAUCCGGCCGGAUAUUGUUUAUAUAAGGUUAAUCAUGCCUCCUUUACAGGCCUUUUUACUUGAAAUGCACACAGAGAAGCUGGCAGAAUUUUGAAGAUUUUCCAAUCUCGUUUGCAAAUGCGAAAAAGUGGAUUUAUCAUUUGAACUUUUUUAGCAAUCAUGCAUGUUGACCGAUAUCUGCAUGAUGUAGUAUAUGAUUGUAAAAUUAUUUCCUAUUGUUAUAAACACUUUCAAUUUUAAACCAAUUAAAAUCAAUACUGUUUGAACUCAAAUGAGGCCAGAACCUUCCCUUCCUGAACCUAAUAUGAAUAAUCCGGCCUAUUUUCAACUACCCGGCAUAUCCGGUAUCCCGCCGGAUAGCAAAAAAGUCUAUCCCGGUGCAACAUUACGUUCAAGGCAUUGUGUUCAAAGUUGCACAAUUGUGUCUGCCCCAUACUUGCAUGUACUCGCAGUAGUAUAUGUCGGCAAUGCAAAUACAUGUAUUGUCCAUUCGGGGUGGCGAAACUGCAUGCAGUUGUUUCAAAACAGAAAAUGUCCGAAUGAUCCAAUCGCAUUAGUUUGAUCACUUGUUAAAUACUUUUCUCACGAUCACAAAGUGAGCUGGCGUGUUAAUAUGGGAAAUUUUAAUCCCGCCUGCCUCGGCACUCUCACACGAAUGAAUGCGGUGUUAACUUAUAGUGAAGUUGAGCUCAUAUGAACAGGCCCAAAAGUUAUUCACAUAUACAGGGUGUAUCCAAAUAAACGCAAUUCAUCUUUUGUGCUUAAUAACUUUCGAAAUACUAUUUCUAGUUAAACGCUUUUAGGCUUACUUCAAAGCCUGUUCUUUUCUCUUUCAAACAAGCUAUUAUCCUUGUCUCCAAUGCUAGUAAUAAUUGCAUAGGAGAAGAUUUAGUAAAACCUAUAAUUUUUAGUUGCUGUUUAAUUAUGCAAGUUUACUAUGUUAUUGUUUAGUCGGUUUAAAUGUUAGAAUUUUCUUCUGUAGACUUUAAUGUUGUCCUCACUACAUCUGGAAAACCACGUAAGAACAAAUUAAAAGUAUUUUAAAAGAGACCAGGUUGUUUGAAAAUCCUAAACGAAUGCUAAAAAUCGUCAAAACAUUCUGGUGUCUGAGCGGCAGAGUGUCAUCGAAUUGCGAUGUAAUGUAAACAGAAAUUAUAGCAAGUUGAUGUCAGUCAGCUUAGAUGGUCCAAGCCAAAAUUAUAUCGCAUUUGAAGUUUCAAACUGAGUUAAAAAUAGUGGAAGAAAAGCCGUAAUUAUACUUGUUACAAUCCAUUUAAUAAUAUGCAACAUUUUUUUGUUUUAAUGAAAAAAUCAGUUAUUUUCAUGAGAACGAUUUCAAUUGUUAUUCCAUCUCAAUUUUUUUAAUCUCCAAUCGCAAUAACGUAAAGUAUUAUUACCCGCGAACCAAUGAGUCAAAUUUACGAAACAACCCACUGUUAGAAAGCUGAAUGGCUACGCUUUAAAAUGAAUGUAAACUUUAAAGUUUUCGUCAAUUAUUUGUUUAGCAAUUUACAUUUCAGUCGAGGAUUGCGCUUUUUUUUAUACACCCUGUAUAUGUAAGAUAAGACAGUAAACAUAGAGCAUGGGAAAAGCAAUGAUCACAUGCUUAGGAUUGAUACAGGUGUUCAGACAAGAUAGCAUUGACCGAAAAUCCACUUUUAUUUAAUUUACAACAUGCAUUCGUUUUCAGCAUC
Molecule: long non-coding RNA, 2973 nt
Filed under: Paramuricea clavata
Lineage: Eukaryota; Metazoa; Cnidaria; Anthozoa; Malacalcyonacea; Plexauridae
Source: RNAcentral